GAUCUCUUUUCGAAAAGUUUUACGAAAGUUGGAAAAUAUAGGCUAAAUAAGAAAAUGUACAGUUAACAUUUUUUAAUAAAAUCCAUGCGCGUUUUCGGUAUUUUACCUUCAAGUUACGAACUCGUGUCGUGCUCGAAAGUGAAAAAGUGGACGAAAAGCUAAACUUUGACGCGGCUAGAAAACGAUCUCGAAAUCGGGAACAGUGAAAAAUGUAGGUAACGAACGAUAAAGUGACGUGGAAGGACGUGAAGUCCUGCGGACGUUAUUCUGGGGAAUCGCCGUGGCCCGGCGUAGCCUCUGAUCUCUUAUUCUAGUAUCGUUCUGGUACCAAGAUGCUGGACAUAUUUCGCGGUCUGAAGAGUCUCAUAAAAAUCUCGCACAUCCAUAUCGACAGCGCCGUCUUCCGCUUGCAUUACAGCCUGACUGUGAUCCUGCUGAUAGCGUUCUCCCUGAUUGUCACAACCCGCCAAUACGUUGGCAAUCCUAUCGACUGUAUACACAGCAAGGACCUGCCCGAAGAUGUUCUGAACACUUACUGCUGGAUACACAGCACCUACACGAUAACCGCGGCGUACCGGAAGAGAGAAGGUUUAGAAGUACCCUUUCCUGGCGUCGACAAUUCCAAAUCGUAUUCCGAAUCCGAGCGAAAGGAGUACAAAUACUACCAGUGGGUCUGCUUCAUGCUGUUCCUGCAGGCGAUCCUCUUCUAUACCCCGCGCUGGCUCUGGAAGGGCUGGGAGGGUGGCAAGAUUCAUGCCCUUAUGAUGGAUCUCGACAUCGGACUCUGCUCCGAGGUGGAGAAAAAGCAAAAGAAGAAAAUGCUGCUCGACUACCUCUGGGAGAAUCUUCGCUUUCACAAUUGGUGGGCUUACAGGUACUACCUAUGCGAGGUCCUUGCGCUCCUAAAUGUGAUCGGUCAGAUGUUUCUAAUGAACCGUUUCUUCGACGGCGCCUUCUUGACCUUUGGCAUCGACGUACUUAGAUUCCUCGAAUCCGAUCAAGAAGACCGAGUGGACCCAAUGAUUUAUGUCUUCCCACGAAUGACCAAAUGCACCUUUUACAAGUACGGCGUCAGCGGAGAAGUCGAGAGACAUGAUGCUGUCUGUAUACUGCCUCUAAAUGUUGUGAACGAGAAGAUCUAUGUCUUUCUGUGGUUUUGGUUCCUUCUCCUCGGCGUGCUCAGUUUCUUUACGGUUUUAUAUAGGAUCCUAAUAAUAUUUUCGCCGCGCACGAGGGUCUACCUGUUGCGAAUGAGGUUUCGUUUGGUACGAAGGGACGCCGUAGAGACCAUAGUGCGUCGUAGUAAGGUCGGUGAUUGGUUUCUUCUCUACAUGCUGGGCGAGAAUUUGGACACCGUGAUAUACAGAGACGUGAUGCACGAAUUGGCGAACAAGCUCGCCUCGAGGCAUCACCACGGCGUACCGGGAGUGAAGGGCGAGCUUCAAGAAGCCUGAUCGAGGUUGCCUCGGAGGGACGGUACGUUCGAUUCGCCGCUGCCGCUGCCGCAGUCCUGCUCUCGCUCAUCUGCAUCGCGCGGUCGUCGUCGCGUCCGGGGACGACGUGGGACGUGCGAUCGCAGUCGGAGCUUCAGAAGACUAGCUGAUAGAUCUUCCUCGAGGAUCCGCGGGUCUGGUCUCGCAAAGAGACGCGUUUUUUCCUUCCGCCGAUUGUUGCUCGUCGAACUCGAAGCGAUGCGACAGCGAUAGUCGCGCAAAGUUGCGUUCGUGGAGAUCACAAUUGCUGACGUAAGCGCGAAAGGUGCAUUUGGCCAUGUCUUGCAGCACAGGGAAGUGAACUCGUCGAAAUUGCAUACCGGUUCCAGUCUCCGGUCGCAGUCGGUGGAUUCAACCGGUGGCCCGCAAACGAAAAGACAGAGACGCACGGCUGCGCGUCUGCGAGAGCGAUGGAAAGGACCAAAACUACACCGGCGUUGCUGUACUUGGCAGGAGAUGCGUCGUCCCUGGAUAGCGACACGCGUUAAAAGACACUUCAGGAACGGCGGCGUGGGUCGUCGAACGGAUAUCGCACCGACCGGUCAUCGAGAGCAACGCCAGCCAAAGAGAUCUUCGUGCCUUUAUAUUUACUCCCGUGUCGUCAAAAGACAGGAUCUCGAAAGAGUGCCAGACAUAGAAUGUAUCGUUGCACGGGAUAUCUUGUUUUUGCUAAUCUUGGAUCCGCUAUAAAGAAUACCUUUAAAGAAUGCCCUUAGAAUCAGCAAUUGAGAGACAACAAGAAUCGAGAAACAAGUUUUUCGUAAAAAAAUUAUAAGCUUUUCAUAAGUUACAUUC
Molecule: RNA transcript, 2288 nt
Organism: Mycetomoellerius zeteki
Lineage: Eukaryota; Metazoa; Arthropoda; Insecta; Hymenoptera; Formicidae
Gene: shakB
Gene name: Innexin family member shaking B
Exons: 6
Source: RefSeq, a predicted model, not a curated record